This 466-nucleotide ribosomal RNA is filed under the name uncultured bacterium. RNAcentral describes it as "bacterial SSU rRNA". It matches the Rfam family "Bacterial small subunit ribosomal RNA", at positions 329 to 792 of the family's 1533-position model. The record is from RNAcentral.
AGCCAGACUCCUACGGGAGGCAGCAGUGAGGAAUAUUGGUCAAUGGGCUUACGCCUGAACCAGCCAAGUCGCGUGAGGGAAGACUGCCCUAUGGGUUGUAAACCUCUUUUGUCAGGGAGCAAUUGGCGCUACGUGUAGCGUUAUCGAGAGUACCUGAAGAAAAAGCAUCGGCUAACUCCGUGCCAGCAGCCGCGGUAAUACGGAGGAUGCGGGCGUUAUCCGGAUUUAUUGGGUUUAAAGGGUGCGUAGGCGGAAUGCCAAGUCAGCGGUAAAAUCGCGGGGCUCAACCUCGCUCCGCCGUUGAAACUGGCGUUCUUGAGUGGGCGAGAAGUAUGCGGAAUGCGUGGUGUAGCGGUGAAAUGCAUAGAUAUCACGCAGAACUCCGAUUGCGAAGGCAGCGUACCGGCGCCCAACUGACGCUGAAGCACGAAGGCGUGGGUAUCGAACAGGAUUAGAUACCCGUGUA